AGCUUUUUGGAUCCAUGCAGAGAUUUCGUUAGAUACCAACCCAUAAUGGCUGAUCAGACUUCCAAGAUCAGUGAAGUU
This 78-nucleotide microRNA precursor is filed under the name Schistosoma margrebowiei. Its description in RNAcentral is "mir-3492 microRNA precursor family". It matches the Rfam family "mir-3492 microRNA precursor family". Lineage: Eukaryota; Metazoa; Platyhelminthes; Trematoda; Strigeidida; Schistosomatidae. The record is from Rfam by way of RNAcentral.